RNAcentral lists this ribosomal RNA (497 nucleotides) under uncultured bacterium. RNAcentral's name for it is "partial 16S ribosomal RNA". It matches the Rfam family "Bacterial small subunit ribosomal RNA", at positions 28 to 507 of the family's 1533-position model. The record is from RNAcentral.
GAUGAACGCUGGCGGCGUGCCUAAUACAUGCAAGUCGAGCGAACAGGCGCGGAGCUUGCUCCUCGGACGUUAGCGGCGGACGGGUGAGUAGCACGUGGAUAACCUACCUAUAAGACUGGGAUAACUUCGGGAAACCGGAGCUACUACCGGAUAAUAUAUUGAACCGCAUGGUUCAAUAGUGAAAGACGGUUUUGCUGUCACUUAUAGAUGGAUCCGCGCCGCAUUAGCUAGUUGGUAAGGUAACGGCUUACCAAGGCAACGAUGCGUAGCCGACCUGAGAGGGUGAUGGGCGACCCUGGAACGGAGAAACGGCCCAGACUCCUACGGGAGGCAGCAGUAGGGAAUCUUCCGCCAUGGGCGAAAGCAGGCCGGAGCAACGCCGCGGCAGGGAUGAAGGUCUUCGGAUCGUAAAACUCUGUUAUUAGGGAAGAACAAAGGUGUAAGUAACUAUGCACGUCUUGACGGUACCUAAUCAGAAAGCCACGGCUAACUACGUG